RNAcentral lists this ribosomal RNA (406 nucleotides) under uncultured bacterium. RNAcentral's name for it is "bacterial SSU rRNA". It matches the Rfam family "Bacterial small subunit ribosomal RNA", at positions 355 to 776 of the family's 1533-position model. The record is from RNAcentral.
UUAGGAAUCUUGCGCAAUGGGGGAAACCCUGACGCAGCGACGCCGCGUGGAGGAUGACAGCCCUCGGGUUGUAAACUCCUUUUAAGAGGGAAGAAGAUCUGACGGUACCUCUUGAAUAAGCCCCGGCUAACUACGUGCCAGCAGCCGCGGUAAUACGUAGGGGGCGAGCGUUGUCCGGAUUUACUGGGCGUAAAGCGCGCGUAGGCGGAUUCUCAAGUCGGGGGUGAAAUUCCGAGGCUCAACCUCGGAACUGCCCUCGAAACUGGGGAUCUGGAGGCAUGGAGAGGGAAGUGGAAUUCCUGGUGUAGCGGUGAAAUGCGUAGAUAUCAGGAGGAACACCCGUGGCGAAGGCGGCUUCCUGGCCAUGUCCUGACGCUGAGGUGCGAAAGCCAGGGGAGCGAACGGG